GAUGAACGCUGGCGGCGUGCUUAACACAUGCAAGUCGAACGAGAAGUGGAGACGGAAACCUUCGGGCGGAAGACUUUACUUCGAGUGGCGGACGGGUGAGUAACGCGUGGGUAACCUGCCUCAUACAGGGGGAUAACAGUUGGAAACGACUGUUAAUACCGCAUAAGACCACAGCACCGCAUGGUGCGGGGGUAAAAACUCCGGUGGUAUGAGAUGGACCCGCGUUCGAUUAGCCAGUUGGCGGGGUAACGGCCCACCAAAGCGACGAUCGAUAGCCGAUCUGAGAGGAUGACCGGCCACAUUGGGACUGGGACACGGCCCAAACUCCUACGGGAGGCAGCAGUGGGGAAUAUUGCACAAUGGGGGAAACCCUGAUGCAGCGACGCCGCGUGAGUGAAGAAGUAUUUCGGUAUGUAAAGCUCUAUCAGCAGGGAAGAAAAUGACAGUACCUGAGUAAGAAGCCCCGGCUAACUACGUG
This 478-nucleotide ribosomal RNA is filed under the name uncultured bacterium. RNAcentral's name for it is "partial 16S ribosomal RNA". It matches the Rfam family "Bacterial small subunit ribosomal RNA", at positions 28 to 507 of the family's 1533-position model. The record is from RNAcentral.